Molecule: ribosomal RNA, 1948 nt
Filed under: human gut metagenome
Description: bacterial LSU rRNA
Rfam family: Bacterial large subunit ribosomal RNA
Source: RNAcentral
GGGAGGGGAGUGAAAUAGAACCUGAAACCCUGCACUUACAAGCUGUGGGAGCACAUUACUUGUGUGACCGCGUACUUUUUGUAGAACGGGCCAACGAGUUACGUUGUGUAGCAAGGUUAAGCACUUAAGGUGUGGAGCCGUAGCGAAAGCGAGUCUUAAAUGGGCGUCCAGUUACCCGACGUAGACCCGAAACCAGGCGACCUAUCCAUGAGCAGGUUGAAGCGAAAGUAAAAUUUCGUGGAGGACCGAACCCACGAGCGUUGAAAAGUGCGGGGAUGACUUGUGGAUAGCGGUGAAAUUCCAAUCGAGCCUGGAGAUAGCUGGUUCUCCCCGAAAUAGCUUUAGGGCUAGCCUCAAGCUUAGAGAAACGGAGGUAGAGCACUGAAUGUCCUAGGGGGUAUUGCACUUACCGAAGACUAUCAAACUCCGAAUGCCGUAUUCUUUUGCUUGGGAGUCAGACUAUGGGUGAUAAGAUUCAUAGUCAAGAGGGCAACAGCCCAGAUCGUCAGCUAAGGUCCCUAAAUGUAAGUUAAGUGGUAAAGGAUGUGGAAUUGCACAGACAACCAGGAUGUUGGCUUAGAAGCAGCCACUCAUUUAAAGAGUGCGUAAUAGCUCACUGGUCGAGUGAUUCUGCGCCGAAAAUUUCCGGGGCUAAAACUUACUACCGAAGCUACGGCAUCAUUAUGAUGGGUAGGGGAGCUUUCUAUGCGGCUUGAAGCAUGACCGUAAGGACAUGUGGACUGCAUAGAAGUGAGAAUGUUGGCAUGAGUAGCGAGAUGUGGGUGAGAAUCCCACAGGCCGUAAACCCAAGGUUUCCAGGGGAAGGUUCGUCCGCCCUGGGUUAGUCAGGACCUAAGCCGAGGCCGAAAGGCGUAGGUGAUGGACAACAGGUUGAUAUUCCUGUACCACCAAUAACCGUUUGAGAAAUGGGAUGACACAGUAGGAUAAGCUAACCGCACUGUUGGUUAUGUGCGGGCAAGUAUUGAGGCAGUUCCGAUAGGCAAAUCCGUCGGAAUAAUGCUGGGGUACGAUGCGGAGCGAAAUUUAGUAGCGAAGUAGCUGAUUUCACACUGUCGAGAAAAGUCUCUAUCGAGGUUAAAGGUGCCUGUACCGCAAACCGACACAGGUGGGUGAGGAGAGUAUCCUAAGGCCAGCGAGAGAACUGUUGUUAAGGAACUCGGCAAAAUGACCCCGUAACUUCGGGAGAAGGGGUGCCUUCGAAAGAAGGCCGCAGAGAAUAGGCCCAAGCGACUGUUUACCAAAAACAUAGGUUUCUGCUAAGUCGCAAGACGAUGUAUAGGAGCUGACGCCUGCCCGGUGCUGGAAGGUUAAGGGGAUCUGUUAGAGCAAUCGAAGCAGUGAACUUAAGCCCCAGUAAACGGCGGCCGUAACUAUAACGGUCCUAAGGUAGCGAAAUUCCUUGUCGGGUAAGUUCCGACCCGCACGAAAGGCGUAACGAUUUGGGCACUGUCUCAACAACAGACUCGGUGAAAUUGUAAUACCGGUGAAGAUGCCGGUUACCUGCGACAGGACGGAAAGACCCCAUGGAGCUUUACUGUAGCUUGACAUUGAGUCUCGGUGCUACAUGUACAGGAUAGGUGGGAGACUAUGAAGCAUGGACGUCAGUCUGUGUGGAGUCAUCCUUGGGAUACCACCCUUGUAGUACUGGGAUUCUAACCAGAGGCCAUGAAUCUGGUCUUGGGACACUGUCAGGUGGACAGUUUGACUGGGGCGGUCGCCUCCCAAAAAGUAACGGAGGCGCUCAAAGGUUCUCUCAGUACGGUCGGAAAUCGUACGAAGAGUGUAAAGGCAAAAGAGAGCUUGAUUGCAAGACAUACAGGUCGAGCAAGGACGAAAGUCGGACUUAGUGAUCCGGUGGUUCCGCAUGGAAGGGCCAUCGCUCAACGGAUAAAAGCUACCCUGGGGAUAACAGGCUGAUCUCCCCCAA